AAUACCGCAUACGACCUACGGGUGAAAGCAGGGGAUCUUCGGACCUUGCGCGAUUGAAUGAGCCGAUGUCGGAUUAGCUAGUUGGCGGGGUAAAGGCCCACCAAGGCGACGAUCCGUAGCUGGUCUGAGAGGAUGAUCAGCCACACUGGAACUGAGACACGGUCCAGACUCCUACGGGAGGCAGCAGUGGGGAAUAUUGGACAAUGGGCGCAAGCCUGAUCCAGCCAUACCGCGUGGGUGAAGAAGGCCUUCGGGUUGUAAAGCCCUUUUGUUGGGAAAGAAAU
This 284-nucleotide ribosomal RNA is filed under the name Stenotrophomonas sp. SRTU1001. RNAcentral describes it as "partial 16S ribosomal RNA". It matches the Rfam family "Bacterial small subunit ribosomal RNA", at positions 165 to 451 of the family's 1533-position model. The record is from RNAcentral. Lineage: Bacteria; Pseudomonadati; Pseudomonadota; Gammaproteobacteria; Lysobacterales; Lysobacteraceae.